RNAcentral lists this ribosomal RNA (483 nucleotides) under uncultured bacterium. RNAcentral describes it as "bacterial SSU rRNA". It matches the Rfam family "Bacterial small subunit ribosomal RNA", at positions 30 to 504 of the family's 1533-position model. The record is from RNAcentral.
UGAACGCUAGCGGCAGGCCUAACACAUGCAAGUCGAGGGGUAACAGGGAGUGCUUGCACUCCGCUGACGACCGGCGCACGGGUGCGCACCGCGUAUGGAACCUACCUUUUGCAGGGGAAUAGCCCAGGGAAACUUGGAUUAAUGCCCCGUAGUACCAUUUUGCAGCAUUGCAUUAUGGUUAAAGUCUUCGGGCGGCAAGAGAUGGCCAUGCGUCCCAUUAGUUUGAUGGUAAGGUAACGGCUUACCAUGACUACGAUGGGUAGGGGCCCUGAGAGGGGGAUCCCCCACACUGGUACUGAGACACGGACCAGACUCCUACGGGAGGCAGCAGUGAGGAAUAUUGGACAAUGGAGGAGACUCUGAUCCAGCCAUGCCGCGUGCAGGAAGACGGCCCUAUGGGUUGUAAACUGCUUUUAUACGGGAAGAAAAACAGCUACGUGUAGUUGACUGACGGUACCGUAAGAAUAAGGACCGGCUAACUCC